AGUGAACGCUGGCGGUAGGCCUAACACAUGCAAGUCGAACGGCAGCACAGAGGAGCUUGCUCCUUGGGUGGCGAGUGGCGGACGGGUGAGGAAUACAUCGGAAUCUACUCUGUCGUGGGGGAUAACGUAGGGAAACUUACGCUAAUACCGCAUACGACCUACGGGUGAAAGCAGGGGAUCUUCGGACCUUGCGCGAUUGCAUGAGCCGAUGUCGGAUUAGCUAGUUGGCGGGGUAAAGGCCCACCAAGGCGACGAUCCGUAGCUGGUCUGGGAGGAUGAUCGAGCACACUGGAACUGAGACACGGUCCAGACUCCUCCGGGAGGCAGCAGUGGGGAAUAUUGGACAAUGGGCGCAAGCCUGAUCCAGCCAUACCGCGUGGGUGAAGAAGGCCUUCGGGUUGUAAAGCCCUUUUGUUGGGAAAGAAAUCCAGCUGGUUAAUACCCGGUUGGGAUGACGGUACCCAAAGAAUAAGCACCGGCUAACUUCGUGCCAGCCGCCGCGGUAA
Molecule: ribosomal RNA, 506 nt
Filed under: uncultured bacterium
Lineage: Bacteria
Description: partial 16S ribosomal RNA
Rfam family: Bacterial small subunit ribosomal RNA
Source: RNAcentral